This 344-nucleotide ribosomal RNA is filed under the name uncultured Bacillota bacterium. Its description in RNAcentral is "bacterial SSU rRNA". It matches the Rfam family "Bacterial small subunit ribosomal RNA", at positions 28 to 351 of the family's 1533-position model. The record is from RNAcentral. Lineage: Bacteria; Bacillati; Bacillota.
GACAAACGCUGGCGGCGUGCCUAACACAUGCAAGUCGAACGGUCCGGUACUCAAUGCAAAUUGAGUGCCGGGUAGUGGCGGACGGGUGAGUAACGCGUGGGUAACCUACCCAUAAAGCCGGGACAACCCUUGGAAACGAGGGCUAAUACCGGAUAAUCUUAAGUCUUGGCAUCAAGGCAUAAGGAAAGGUGGCCUCUGAGAAUGCUGCCGAUUAUGGAUGGACCCGCGUCUGAUUAGCUAGUUGGUGGGGUAAAGGCCUACCAAGGCGACGAUCAGUAGCCGGCCUGAGAGGGUGAACGGCCACACUGGGACUGAGACACGGCCCAGACUCCUACGGGAGGCUG